CGGGUUGUAAAGCACUUUCAGUCAGGAGGAAAGGUUAGUAGUUAAUACCUGCUAGCUGUGACGUUACUGACAGAAGAAGCACCGGCUAACUCCGUGCCAGCAGCCGCGGUAAAAA
RNAcentral lists this ribosomal RNA (115 nucleotides) under Pseudoalteromonas sp. Tn-P12. RNAcentral's name for it is "partial 16S ribosomal RNA". It matches the Rfam family "Bacterial small subunit ribosomal RNA", at positions 419 to 526 of the family's 1533-position model. Lineage: Bacteria; Pseudomonadati; Pseudomonadota; Gammaproteobacteria; Alteromonadales; Pseudoalteromonadaceae. The record is from RNAcentral.